This 336-nucleotide unclassified non-coding RNA is filed under the name soil metagenome. RNAcentral's name for it is "partial contains 5.8S ribosomal RNA, internal transcribed spacer 2, and large subunit ribosomal RNA". The stretch from base 1 to 120 matches the Rfam family "5.8S ribosomal RNA", at positions 35 to 154 of the family's 154-position model. The record is from RNAcentral.
GAUGAAGAACGCAGCGAAAUGCGAUAAGUAAUGUGAAUUGCAGAAUUCAGUGAAUCAUCGAAUCUUUGAACGCACAUUGCGCCCGCCAGUAUUCUGGCGGGCAUGCCUGUUCGAGCGUCAUUUCAACCAUCAAGCCCCCGGGCUUGUGUUGGGGUCCUGCGGCUGCCGCAGGCCCUGAAAAGCAGUGGCGGGCUCGCUGUCACACCGAGCGUAGUAGAUUUUAUCUCGCUCAGGGCGUGCUGCGGGUUCCGGCCGUUAAACCACCUUCAUAACCCAAGGUUGACCUCGGAUCAGGUAGGAAGACCCGCUGAACUUAAGCAUAUCAAUAAGCGGGGA